GGCAGGCCUAACACAUGCAAGUCGGACGGAAACGACAAGAACAAUCACUUCGGUGUGCGUUUUUGGGCGUCGAGUGGCGGACGGGUGAGUAACGCGUGGGAAUCUACCCUUUAGUUGGGGACAACAUAUGGAAACGUAUGCUAAUACCGAAUAUGCUCUACGGAGUAAAGGUGCCCUCUCCUUGGAAGGUAUCGCUAAAGGAUGAGCCCGCGUUAGAUUAGCUAGUUGGUAAGGUAAAGGCUUACCAAGGCGACGAUCUAUAGCUGGUUUGAGAGGAUGAUCAGCCACACUGGGACUGAGACACGGCCCAGACUCCUACGGGAGGCAGCAGUGGGGAAUAUUGCACAAUGAGGGAAACCUUGAUGCAGCCAUGCCGCGUGUGUGAAGAAGGCCCGAGGGUUGUAAAGCACUUUCAAUUGUGAGGAAGAUUAAGUAGCUAAUACCUGCUUAGUUUGACGUUAACUUUAGAAGAAGCACCGGCUAACUCUGUGCCAGCAGCCGCGGUAAUACAGAGGGUGCAAGCGUUAUUCGGAAUUACUGGGCGUAAAGCGCGCGUAGGCGGACUGUUAAGUCGGUUGUGAAAGCCCUGGGCUCAACCUAGGAACUGCAUCCGAUACUGGCAAUCUAGAGUUUAAGAGAGGGAAGUGGAAUUCCAGGUGUAGCAGUGAAAUGCGUAGAUAUCUGGAGGAACAUCAGUGGCGAAGGCGACUUCCUGGCUUAAAACUGACGCUGAGGUGCGAAAGCUUGGGUAGCGAACGGGAUUAGAUACCCCGGUAGUCCAAGCCGUAAACGAUGUC
This 797-nucleotide ribosomal RNA is filed under the name uncultured bacterium. Its description in RNAcentral is "bacterial SSU rRNA". It matches the Rfam family "Bacterial small subunit ribosomal RNA", at positions 41 to 813 of the family's 1533-position model. The record is from RNAcentral.